RNAcentral lists this ribosomal RNA (519 nucleotides) under uncultured Glomus. RNAcentral's name for it is "SSU rRNA". It matches the Rfam family "Eukaryotic small subunit ribosomal RNA", at positions 569 to 1092 of the family's 1831-position model. The record is from RNAcentral. Lineage: Eukaryota; Fungi; Glomeromycota; Glomeromycetes; Glomerales; Glomeraceae.
AGCAGCCGCGGUAAUUCCAGCUCCAAUAGCGUAUAUUAAAGUUGUUGCAGUUAAAAAGCUCGUAGUUGAAUUUCGGGAUCAGUAUGUUGGUCGUGCUUCGGUACGUACUGUCAUUAUUGGUUUCUACCUUCUGAAGAACCUUGAUGUCAUUAAUUUGGUGUCUUGGGGAAUCAGGACUGUUACUUUGAAAAAUUAGAGUGUUUAAAGCAAGCAUACGCUUGAAUACAUUAGCAUGGAAUAAUGAAAUAGGACGUUUGAUUCUAUUUUGUUGGUUUCUAGGAUCGACGUAAUGAUUAAUAGGGAUAGUUGGGGGCAUUAGUAUUCAAUUGUCAGAGGUGAAAUUCUUGGAUUUAUUGAAGACUAACUACUGCGAAAGCAUUUGCCAAGGAUGUUUUCAUUAAUCAAGAACGAAAGUUAGGGGAUCGAAGACGAUCAGAUACCGUCGUAGUCUUAACCAUAAACUAUAGCCGACUAGGGAUCGGAUGAUGUUAUUUUUAAUGACUCAUUCGGCGCCUUAAC